RNAcentral lists this ribosomal RNA (1343 nucleotides) under uncultured bacterium. RNAcentral describes it as "16S ribosomal RNA". It matches the Rfam family "Bacterial small subunit ribosomal RNA", at positions 28 to 1378 of the family's 1533-position model. The record is from RNAcentral.
GACGAACGCUGGCGGCGUGCUUAACACAUGCAAGUCGAACGGAAAGGCCCUGCUUUUGUGGGGUGCUCGAGUGGCGAACGGGUGAGUAACACGUGAGUAACCUGCCCUUGACUUUGGGAUAACUUCAGGAAACUGGGGCUAAUACCGGAUAGGAGCUCCUGCUGCAUGGUGGGGGUUGGAAAGUUUCGGCGGUUGGGGAUGGACUCGCGGCUUAUCAGCUUGUUGGUGGGGUAGUGGCUUACCAAGGCUUUGACGGGUAGCCGGCCUGAGAGGGUGACCGGCCACAUUGGGACUGAGAUACGGCCCAGACUCCUACGGGAGGCAGCAGUGGGGAAUAUUGCACAAUGGGCGGAAGCCUGAUGCAGCAACGCCGCGUGCGGGAUGACGGCCUUCGGGUUGUAAACCGCCUUCGCCUGUGACGAAGCGUGAGUGACGGUAAUGGGUAAAGAAGCACCGGCUAACUACGUGCCAGCAGCCGCGGUGAUACGUAGGGUGCGAGCGUUGUCCGGAUUUAUUGGGCGUAAAGGGCUCGUAGGUGGUUGAUCGCGUCGGAAGUGUAAUCUUGGGGCUUAACCCUGAGCGUGCUUUCGAUACGGGUUGACUUGAGGAAGGUAGGGGAGAAUGGAAUUCCUGGUGGAGCGGUGGAAUGCGCAGAUAUCAGGAGGAACACCAGUGGCGAAGGCGGUUCUCUGGGCCUUUCCUGACGCUGAGGAGCGAAAGCGUGGGGAGCGAACAGGCUUAGAUACCCUGGUAGUCCACGCUGUAAACGGUGGGUACUAGGUGUGGGGUCCACUCCACGGGUUCCGUGCCGUAGCUAACGCUUUAAGUACCCCGCCUGGGGAGUACGGCCGCAAGGCUAAAACUCAAAGGAAUUGACGGGGCCCCGCACAAGCGGCGGAGCAUGCGGAUUAAUUCGAUGCAACGCGUAGAACCUUACCUGGGUUUGACAUGGAUCGGGAGCGCUCAGAGAUGGGUGUGCCUCUUUUGGGGUCGGUUCACAGGUGGUGCAUGGCUGUCGUCAGCUCGUGUCGUGAGAUGUUGGGUUAAGUCCCGCAACGAGCGCAACCCUUGUUCACUGUUGCCAGCACGUUAUGGUGGGGACUCAGUGGAGACCGCCGGGGUCAACUCGGAGGAAGGUGGGGAUGACGUCAAGUCAUCAUGCCCCUUAUGUCCAGGGCUUCACGCAUGCUACAAUGGCUGGUACAGAGAGUGGCGAGCCUGUGAGGGUGAGCGAAUCUCGGAAAGCCGGUCUCAGUUCGGAUUGGGGUCUGCAACUCGACCUCAUGAAGUCGGAGUCGCUAGUAAUCGCAGAUCAGCAACGCUGCGGUGAAUACGUUCCCGGG